CUUGGUCAUUUAGAGGAAGUAAAAGUCGUAACAAGGUUCCACUUGUGGCUUAAAGCUCGGUAAGUUGCCUUCUUUAACCUAUGAAGCCUUGAAGCACCAAGUCUGGCAGCCAUAGCUGCUGGGCAACACUUGCCUGUUGCUGGCGUCCCAUCAGGGUACCAGCAGUCGUUUAAAAUGCGAUUCACAGAUCAAACGCAAGUGGUACUCUCAACUCUUACUAAACGAAAAUUCUCUACUGUAAGGCCACCUACGGGCAAGAGAAAGGAAUUUUCAUUUUGAAAAGAGUACAUUUUCAAAAGAGUAUUUUGAUAUGAUCGGUCCUUCUUUUAACUAAGAUGGAUUUUACGUUCCGUAGGUGAACCUGCGGAAGGAUCAUUAACGAGUUAGGGUCGUUCUGGCCCAGACUUCCAACCCUUUGCUUACUACACUAUGUUGCUUUGGCGGGUCCGCCCUUAAAAUUUAGGGCCGCCGGAGGUUUUUUGGCCUCUGGUCCGUACCCGCCAGUAGCCUUUAUUAAAUUCUUUUUUAAACUGUGUCGUCUGAGUGACAUUUUAAAAUCGUUUUAAAACUUUCAACAACGGAUCUCUUGGUUCUGGCAUCGAUGAAGAACGCAGCGAAAUGCGAUAAGUAAUGCGAAUUGCAGAAUUCAGUGAGUCAUCGAAUCUUUGAACGCAUAUUGCGCCCUUUGGUAUUCCGAAGGGCAUGCCUGUUCGAGCGUCAUUUAUCAACCAUCAAGCUUGGCUUGUUGUUGGACCCCCUUUUGGUCGGGAUUGGCUCCCGACCGGUCCGAAAGAUAAUGAACGGCUGUUUAAUGGCCUUUUGAUGCAACGAGCUUUUUGUAAAGCACGCAUNGAAUGGUGGUUAGGGCCUGUUCUCCCUUUAUUUUUCUAACGGUUGACCUCGGAUCAGGUAGGAAUACCCGCUGAACUUAAGCAUAUCAAUAAGCGGAGGA
This 952-nucleotide ribosomal RNA is filed under the name uncultured Ascomycota. RNAcentral describes it as "eukaryotic LSU rRNA". The stretch from base 567 to 720 matches the Rfam family "5.8S ribosomal RNA". The record is from RNAcentral. Lineage: Eukaryota; Fungi; Ascomycota.